Molecule: ribosomal RNA, 460 nt
Filed under: uncultured bacterium
Lineage: Bacteria
Description: partial 16S ribosomal RNA
Rfam family: Bacterial small subunit ribosomal RNA
Source: RNAcentral
CCUACGGGUGGCAGCAGUGAGGAAUAUUGGUCAAUGGACGAGAGUCUGAACCAGCCAAGUAGCGUGAAGGAUGACUGCCCUAUGGGUUGUAAACUUCUUUUAUAUGGGAAUAAAAUGUUCCACGUGUGGGAUUUUGUAUGUACCAUAUGAAUAAGGAUCGGCUAACUCCGUGCCAGCAGCCGCGGUAAUACGGAGGAUCCGAGCGUUAUCCGGAUUUAUUGGGUUUAAAGGGAGCGUAGGUGGAUUCUUAAGCCAGGUGGGAAAGUUUGCGGCUCAACCGUAAAAUUGCAGUUGAAACUGGCAGUCUUGAGUGCAGUAGAGGUGGGCGGAAUUCGUGGUGUAGCGGUGAAAUGCUUAGAUAUCACGAAGAACUCCGAUUGCGAAGGCAGCUCACUGGACUGCAACUGACACUGAGGCUCGAAAGUGUGGGUAUCAAACAGGAUUAGAUACCCUAGUAGUC